GGUCUAUUAAGCCUUAAUCUAAAACCUCUGGCGGCGGGAGGAACGGCAGCGGUGGAGCUGCGUAUCUCCGCGAGGCUCCCGUGCGCCUCGACCCGCAGCCUCCGCACGCGCCCCGCGCCGCCAAGAUGCCCAAGAGGAAGGUCAGCUCGGCCGAAGGGGCGGCGAAGGAGGAGCCCAAGAGGAGAUCGGAGAGGUUGUCGGCUAAACCUGUUCCAGCUAAAGUGGAAACGAAGCCAAAAAAGGCAGCGGGAAAGGAUAAAUCUUCGGACAAAAAAGUGCAAGCAAAAGGGAAAAGGGGAGCCAAGGGAAAACAGG
Octodon degus (degu) is the source of this 315-nucleotide long non-coding RNA. RefSeq lists it as uncharacterized. The transcript has 4 exons. The record is from RefSeq and is a predicted model, not a curated record. Lineage: Eukaryota; Metazoa; Chordata; Mammalia; Rodentia; Octodontidae.